Molecule: ribosomal RNA, 207 nt
Filed under: uncultured bacterium
Lineage: Bacteria
Description: partial 16S ribosomal RNA
Rfam family: Bacterial small subunit ribosomal RNA
Source: RNAcentral
CGCGUAGGCGGCCUUGCAAGUGGAAGGUGAAAUCCCUCGGCUUAACCGAGGAACUGCCUUCCAGACUGCGAGGCUUGAGACCGGGAGAGGUGAGUGGAAUUCCCAGUGUAGCGGUGAAAUGCGUAGAUAUUGGGAGGAACACCAGUGGCGAAGGCGGCUCACUGGACCGGUACUGACGCUGAUGCGCGAAAGCGUGGGGAGCAAACG